This 486-nucleotide ribosomal RNA is filed under the name uncultured bacterium. RNAcentral's name for it is "partial 16S ribosomal RNA". It matches the Rfam family "Bacterial small subunit ribosomal RNA", at positions 30 to 507 of the family's 1533-position model. The record is from RNAcentral.
AUUGAACGCUGGCGGCAUGCCUUACACAUGCAAGUCGAACGGCAGCACGGGUGCUUGCACCUGGUGGCGAGUGGCGAACGGGUGAGUAAUACAUCGGAACAUGUCCUGUAGUGGGGGAUAGCCCGGCGAAAGCCGGAUUAAUACCGCAUACGAUCCACGGAUGAAAGCGGGGGACCUUCGGGCCUCGCGCUAUAGGGUUGGCCGAUGGCUGAUUAGCUAGUUGGUGGGGUAAAGGCCUACCAAGGCGACGAUCAGUAGCUGGUCUGAGAGGACGACCAGCCACACUGGAGCUGAGACACGGCCCAGACUCCUACGGGAGGCAGCAGUGGGGAAUUUUGGACAAUGGGCGAAAGCCUGAUCCAGCAAUGCCGCGUGUGUGAAGAAGGACUUCGGGUUGUAAAGCACUUUUGUCCGGAAAGAAAUCCUUGACUCUAAUACAGUCGGGGGAUGACGGUACCGGAAGAAUAAGCACCGGCUAACUACGUG